Long non-coding RNA from Mugil cephalus (flathead mullet), 638 nucleotides. RefSeq lists it as uncharacterized. The record is from RefSeq and is a predicted model, not a curated record. The transcript is spliced from 3 exons. NCBI's taxonomy places the organism in Eukaryota, Metazoa, Chordata, Actinopteri, Mugiliformes, Mugilidae.
CCAACAACCACAACGACCACACCACCAACUACAACGACCACAGCACCAACGACAAUAACUACAGCACCAAGUACAACAACGACCACACCACCAACUACAACAACGACCACAGCACCAACUACAACAACGACCACAGCACCAACCACAACAACCACGGCACCAACCACAACAACAACAACAGCACCAACUACAACAACCGUAGUACCAACAACAACGACCACAGCACCAACUACAACAACCACGGCACCAACAUCAACGACCACAGCACCAAUUACAAUGACCACUGCACCAGUUAUAACCACACCACCAACUACAAUCACAACCAAUGCACCUCCAACAACCACUAUGAAUGUUGCCCUUGCAACGAGAGUUGUGACUUUCAGAUCAGUUGGUGAGACAUUUACAGUGGAUUUGGCUAAUUCAUCAUCACAAGGUUUUAGAAAUCGUGCAUCUUUGAUAAAGCAACAGCUUGAACCCUUUUUCCGAAAUCAGUUUUCUUCUUCUUUCAACUCCUUGGAUGUUGUGUCUUUCAGGAAUGGAUCAAUCAUCAAUAUCAUGGACGUAAGAUUUGCACAAGCAUCUGUUCCUAACAACACUGGCAUUCAGAAUGUUUUGAUCAAUGCAUCUCAGACCGUUAC